UGAUUUUUUUUAUCAACAUCAACUCGAAUGAGGAAAAUCAUUGAUUUUAAAAAUAACAAAUGAAAAGUCAAAUGCGUUUUGAUAAGAAAACCUUUUGAAAUCAAUGAUUUUUCUCUUUCGAGUUGAUGUUGAUAAGAAAAAUCAAAUUUACAAAAAAAGAAAGAAGUUGAGGGACCAAGUUUGGGGACCUAACAACAUUUUUUCCUAUAAAUAGAAGUUUCCAACACAUACACAAGGGGGGGUAAUUUUGCACAUUUGGAAAGAACACAAAAAAAACCCUAACCCUAAAAACUCAUCUCUUCCAAACCAGCCGGUUGCACCCACUUGGCAAAACAAAAAAAGCAGCCGCACCCCUUCUAGUUUUGGGAUUUUCUUCUUCCUUGGUCGCUCCUUUUCUCCAGCCACCAUCUCCUUCUCACAGUCACUCCCCCUCUCACCAGCAAAGCCUUUCCUUGCUCACCGGGCUUUCCUCCCAAAGCCAGCGCCCCCCUCCCUUCGGCCAAAGAGAACCAGAGAUCAAAAGCUUCUAGCCCUCUCUGCCAUUGCAGUCUUUCCCCCUGUUUCCCUUUCCAUUUCCCCCCACAGACCGACCUCUAUUUUUUCCCCAUUUCCUUUUGCCCUCAUCCAGCAGGUCUUACCUUCUUCAGCCUCUAUACACACCGACCUCCACAAAGACCUGACAGACCCAGAGUCGUUCCCCUUCACUCUCCCCUCUUGUUUCUUCUUCACACCAUCACCAGUCAGCUUGUCAAGACCCGAAGUAGACCCUCCAGCAUCAACCUGCACACGGCUGGACUUGUAGAUCUAGAUCCAUUUCCAAUCGAACCCCCUGAUCGGACAACCACCUCCCAUAUCCACCGCAGCUUUAGCGGCCCCGGACAACAGCAACAACCAGAUCUGCCAUCGGCAGAAGGAAAAAACAAACUGGGAGGAAAAGAGAACAGAAGGCUUUGAACAAAUCUAAAACCGAACAAAAUUGUUUGUUUGUUGCGUUUCCUUUGCUUCGCAGGUGACGUUGCUUGUCACCACCGGCGAGGGAAGGAAGAAGGGAGGAAGCUAAGGCUAGAUCCACACGCUUCUUGAGCGUUGUCUGCGGCGGCGCGUGAACCCAGGCGCCGCCAGUGGCGGUGGCGUGUGGAGAAGAAGUGCCGCCACUGUUCCUGAAGAUCCAGAAGUCUUCCCAGCAUUGCUCUGAAUUUUAGAGGGUUUAUUUUGUAAAUUUUAAGUUGUUUAAUGUACUUUUUGUUUAGUUUUGAAUUUUUAUAAUUUAUAGCCUGCAAAUGUGGAUGUAGAAAAAAAAAAGAAAAAAAACAUAGUAAAAGUGAAUGUGUGUUGUAUUUUUUUUAUGGAUGUUUUUUAUGAUAAAGCCGCAAAGACAAGAAGAAUUUAAUGUUUUGAUUUGCUCACGGUUAAGAAUUAUGAACUUACAUGUAAGAUAUAUUCCUAAUAUCUGAUAAAAAGAUAAAAUUUUUAAAAACUUCUUUAACACAUAAAAAAAAAACCCAUGAAGCAGCUUACUUUAGGUAGGGUGCACUAGGGGUGCUAAUACCUUCCCUAGCCACAACCUGUCCCUUACUCGUGAAUCUCUGAUAAAGACCAAUACAUUCAGGUUUUCUAGUAGCCUUCAAUCAAAUACUAGGUGGCAACUCCUAAAGAACAAACCAACGAACGAAAAAUCGCCAACCGACAUCACGUGAGUGACGUGCGAUAGAAUGACGACUCCACUGGGGAUUUCUCCUUUUGGGUAGUGCGUUUAUAUGUUCUUAAUUGAUACCAUUAUUAUAAAUUAAAAUUUUAAAGUUAGAAGCGUAUAUUGGUUUUUACGAGGAUUGUAACAUAAUAUUGUAAGAAUAACUAAUUAUAUAUAUGAACAAAAUCAAAGAAAAGAUUUUUUUGUUAUUUAUAAAUUAAAAUUUAAUUCAUAAAUAACUUAGUGAAAAGCAACUUUGAAAAAAUUAUAGAGUUCAAUUUCCAAGCCAACUCAAUACAUAAAAUUAAAAAGAAAAAUCAAUUUAAAAAAACAAUGAAAAAAAUUAAUCGGGUCGGUUAAUUUAUCAAACCCGCGAUCCAUGUAAUGAAAUUGAGAUAACCUUUUAGAAUGAAAAUAGAAAUAAAUUAUGAAAUCAAAUUCCUAAUAAAAAUAAUGUUGAAGGAUAAAAUUGAAAAAAAAAUCAAUUUUAAAAAAGAACCUUAGAGAAAGACUAAAAGACAACCUAAACUAACUUUUAAACUUGUGACUCGAAUUAUUAAUAUGAGAUUACCUCAUAGAAGGUAAACUAAAAAAAAUCAUGAAGCGUAAUUAACAAUCAAUCUAAUAUUGAAGGAUGUAAUUGAGAAAAAAAGAAAGAAUUUGAAGGGAAAAAAACAAGGAUUAAAUUUAACAUAACACAUUGGUAUUUUUUUAGAGAAUUUAUGCGGAAAUUAAGGAGAGAAGAAGAAAAAAAAACAAGACUCCAUGUGCCAAUAUUAUAUACACGUGUCGCACCACCGAUAAGGGCUUGUUAAGAAGCUUUCAAAGCCACCAAGGAAGGCAACAUUCUAAUACCAUAUGUUGUCACACGCAUUGUUUGAGCAUGAUGUCUUUUAUACACUAGCGCCAACCACUUUGUCACUACUCAUUGGCUUUAGUCCAUGUAAUUGUUUUCAGUUUUAUAUUUGGCUUCUCAAGCCUUAAUUGUUUUAGAUCAAUAAAAUGGAGCUCUAUUUUGCAAAACCUAGCAUCAAGCGGCCAUUAAGAUUUUUCCUCGACAUCGUAGUAUCCCCAUAUCUAGGCAAUCAAGAAACAUUGAUAAGUUCAAUCCUAAAUAAAAUUCAAUGCUAAAGGCCCAAGUUUUUUUAAAAAAAUUAAGUGAUAAAAAAAAGGUUGAUUUUUCCUAUGUUUUUGCAAUUUAGUCUUCGAUUCUUUUAAGAAAAAAGAGUUGAAUAUUUGUAUGAUGUUCAAAUUCAGUUCCCAUUACUUUAAUUAUUUCAAAUCUAAGUAUCAACCAAGCAUUUUUUUUUUUUUCAAAAUUACGAGAACCUUGCCCAGAAACAAUCAAGUAAUUUGAAAUGAUAAAAUUCAAGAGUCGAAAGAAUUGAGUGACAAAACAAAAUAUGGCAUUAUUAUAAUUCAUAGUAAAAAUUUAUAUGUGUGAACAAUGAUUCCAUAAAAUCACAAAAUGUUUUUUCUUUUCUUUUUAAAUGUAAUUUGAUCUCCAGGGGUAGUCACUCAGCUGCUUUUGAAUCACCACACCACAAUCGACUACAAAGCCGUAAGAGACUAGCUAUUACUAACUGAAGUUCCUACAUCCGUUUCAAAAAAAGAAAAAGGAUUUGCUACAUAGAUCAAAUCAAAGCAUUCAUGGUCUUUGCUGUAGCUUGUUAGAGAGGCUGCUUUCAGAGAUAGCCGCCUCUCUCGUCGUGACUGUCCCAAUCAAAGCAUUCAUGGUCUUUGCUGUAGCAGGUUUAUUGGAUUCUUAUAUUUCAACAGUGGCAGUGGGUAAUAUAACUUGAAAACAUGUUUUGCUUAGAAUUGCAGUGUCAUAAUUUUUAGAACUAUAUAAAAUCCUGAUAUUCUUCUGGAUUGAACACAAAUAUUUAAAGUCGGAUGAAACUAUAAGAUCAAACGAGGUGGCAGAUUGUUGACUUCAGGAACUUUUGAACUGAUAAAAUUCUGUGUUUUUAAUUUUAGGGAACACUUGCCAACUUUCUUUUCUUUCUUUUUUACAAAAUAGUAGGGUUAAUUUUUUUUAAAAAAAUUACUUUUGAUAUCUAUAAUUCGGUAUCAAGGUUUAAAAAAAUUAUAACUUGCAUUCCGGGUUAACAUAAACUCUGAAAUCAAAUAAAAAAAAUCAAAUUAUCCCAUAUAUAAUAUACAUUAGAAACUCAAAUAAAAGAGAAAUACGAAAUUUUCUUUCCUCCGAACAGAAUUUCUCUCUCUUCAAUUAUCAUUUUGUCUUUCUUUUCAUAAUGACAUGAUAACUCGAAAAAUAGCAAGGAAAAAGAUCGAUGCGGUAAAGCACCAGGUGCGAAGAAUGAUGAUAAAUCUGUUUCUGGGAGUGAAAAUCAGGAAUCUCCUGCCAAAAAGCCAAAAUUGUUUAGCUGUAGAAAGGACCCUGAUUACAGUGGAGAUGUUAAUGAAAAGCAAUCUCCAAGUUCAUUGCUGGCCCAGGAGGUUGAUAAUAAGAUCAAUGCAGGAGGCAUGCCAAUAGAUUUUGUGAAUUUCUCUGGAAUCCGUCAAAUUUUCACCUUUUGCUUCAAGGAAUUUUGGUACAGCAGUUAAUUGUUCAUCACCAAAACUUCCAUUUUUGGAAUGAUUUGGUUUAAUAAGGUCAAUGCAGGACAGACACCGGGACCUGGGUCGCUUGGUGGUGGGGUGCGCCUGGUUUAUUUGAAGUGAAGGUGGUGGCUAUGAAGUUCGGCUGGAUUGUGGGUUUGAUGAGGAUAUGGGUUUAUGGUUGGAGAGAGUGGCUGGUGAGGGAUUAAAGGAAAAAGAAAGGUGGCAGUUAGAUUUUAAGUGUGGUUCGAUUGAUUUUUAAAAUGUUUUUUAUUUAAAAAUAUAUUAAAAUAAUUUUUUUUAUUUUUAAAAAAUUAUUUUUGAUAUCAGCGUAUUAAAUUAUUUUAAAAACAUAAAAGAAUAUUAAUUUGAAGCAAAGAAAAAAAUAAAAUAAAAUUUAAAAUUUUUCAAAAACAUUUUUAAAACGUAAAAAUAAACAGUAUCUUAGAGGAAGAUGAGUGAAGGAAGAUGACUAGGUCUUUUUUAUUAAUGUGAAAUUUGUAAUAUUUAAUGGAAAGACUUUUUAGAUAUUAAAUAAAAAAUAAUAGUAUAUAUGUAAAUAAUUAGAUAAUUUUUGUUGAUUUUUU
Populus trichocarpa (black cottonwood) is the source of this 4842-nucleotide long non-coding RNA. RefSeq lists it as uncharacterized. The transcript has 2 exons. The record is from RefSeq and is a predicted model, not a curated record. Lineage: Eukaryota; Viridiplantae; Streptophyta; Magnoliopsida; Malpighiales; Salicaceae.